This 465-nucleotide ribosomal RNA is filed under the name uncultured bacterium. RNAcentral's name for it is "partial 16S ribosomal RNA". It matches the Rfam family "Bacterial small subunit ribosomal RNA", at positions 28 to 507 of the family's 1533-position model. The record is from RNAcentral.
GACGAACGCUGGCGGCGUGCUUAACACAUGCAAGUCGAACGGAAAGGCCCUGCUUGCAGGGUACUCGAGUGGCGAACGGGUGAGUAACACGUGGGUGAUCUGCCCUGCACUUCGGGAUAAGCCUGGGAAACCGGGUCUAAUACCGGAUAGGAGCCAUUUUUAGUGUGAUGGUUGGAAAGUUUUUUCGGUGUAGGAUGAGCUCGCGGCCUAUCAGCUUGUUGGUGGGGUAAUGGCCUACCAAGGCGGCGACGGGUAGCCGGCCUGAGAGGGUGGACGGCCACAUUGGGACUGAGAUACGGCCCAGACUCCUACGGGAGGCAGCAGUGGGGAAUAUUGCACAAUGGGCGCAAGCCUGAUGCAGCGACGCCGCGUGGGGGAUGACGGCCUUCGGGUUGUAAACUCCUUUCGCUAGGGACGAAGCUUUUUGUGACGGUACCUAGAGAAGAAGCACCGGCUAACUACGUG